This is a non-coding RNA of Bactrocera oleae (olive fruit fly), 2790 nucleotides long. Lineage: Eukaryota; Metazoa; Arthropoda; Insecta; Diptera; Tephritidae. The record is from RefSeq and is a predicted model, not a curated record.
UUCAAACAGCUGUGCGCACGAAACACACAAGAGCGCUCGCUGUUUUUCUUUUUGGGGGGAAUAGCGAACGGCACGACAUGCCGUGCACGUUCGGUUCUGAUCGGAAUAGAUCGCGGUUCUCGUUCGCGUAGUCGCAAGUUGGCGCCGCCGCCGCCGCCACAAAAGUAGACAGCAAUACGCCGGCGAGCUGCAGUCUUUGAGAAGCGCGCGCAUUUGAAGGUUUAGUAGGCGGCUAGUGUCGAAACAAGCAAACGAUUACCUAUAAGAACGGACGGUCCGAUCGGUCGGUCGGUUGGUAAAGUGCACAAUAAAAAUUAGUUAAAAUCUAAUGCGAAUACGGAUAUCAGUGUUGAAAAUAAUCAGAAAUUAGUAGUUAUAUGAAAUAUAUGCAACGUCUAAGUGAAAGCGCAGUGCGACUUCAGCAAGAAAGUGUUAAUUUUAACGAGAAUAAUUACAUACAUAAUUAUGCUGUUGGUUUAGAACCAAGCAAACGCGGUGUGCAAUAAAUAUUUACAGUUAUGUAUUAGGUAGUAAAAAAAUACCGUUUAGUGUGUGCGAAAGGCUUUAAUGCUCGUUGAAAACAAAUGUGAUUGCGAUCCAAGAUCCAUAGUGUAAAAUUCGUCUAUGAACAUUGUGUGAUAUUGCAUCAACUGUCUAGUAUUGUUGCUAACUUUAAUGUUGUUACAUAAGCAAUUGUUGCUGCCAAACUUCUUACAGUCAAAUAGUAAAUAAGCGUGCUCUCAUGGUUAUGGCCGUGAUUCUGUUGGUCGCAAUCGCUAUACUUUUGGCUUUCUACUGCAACUUUCAUGUAGGCAAAGGAGCAACUGCCUAUCUGAAGCCCCUGCUGACACGCUACCUCAGUCGCAAUGGGAGGCUAGCCGCUGUCGACACCAGCUUGUUCAGACCAGAGGAUGACUUUUAUCAUGCCAUGGAAAUUCCACGCACUCGCGGUGUCUGGGAUAUUCCAGGGCCAUUGCCAAUACCGUUUCUCGGCACAAAAUGGGUAUUCUUCGUGUUCUUUCGCAAAUACAAAAUGUCGUUGAUGCACGAGAUGUAUGCGGAUUGGCAUCGCAAAUACGGUGAAAUUGCUUUAGAAGUGCUGACCUCUGGCUUGCCGAUUGUGCAUUUAUUCAAUAGGAAUGAUCUGGAAAAGGUGUUGAAAUAUCCCAGCCGUUACCCGUUUCGGCCGCCUACUGAUAUUGUCGUGAUGUAUCGGUUAUCGCGACCAGAUCGGUAUUCCAGUUUGGGCAUCGUGAAUGAACAAGGCACCACCUGGCAGAAACUACGCGCCUCACUCACCUCUUAUAUUACCUCGCCACGCAUACUGUACAACUUUCUGCCAGCCUUAAAUGUGGUGUGUGAUGAUUUCAUUGAACUUUUGCGCCAACAACGCGUUCCCGACACGCUCGAGGUGCACAACUUUGAGGACAUCGCAAAUUUGAUGGGCUUGGAAGCGGUGUGCACGCUCAUGCUGGGGCGUCGUAUGGGUUUUCUGGACAAAAGUGGUCAGCAACCGGAAAGAAUUCGGCAACUCGCGAGUGCGGUUAAGCAACUUUUCAUAUCACAACGGGAUUCCUAUUAUGGCUUGGGACUGUGGAAGUAUUUGCCGACGAAAACCUACACAGAAUUCGUGCGUGCCGAGGAGAUUAUCUACGAUGUUAUUUCCGAGAUGGUCGAAAUGGCACUGAAAGAGGACUACCUCACAUCGGCGGGCGAUGAAAGUGAGGCGGCUUUACGCAGCAUAUUCUUGAAUAUAUUGGAACUUAAGGAUCUUGAUAUACGUGAUAAGAAAUCGGCAAUUGUCGACUUUAUAGCGGCGGGCAUUGAAACGCUUGCCAACACAGUGCUAUUUGUGCUCAGCUCUGUGACCAACGAUGAGGGCGUAAUUUCUGGCAUACUGGCCGACUUUUGUGAAUACCGUAAGACGACGAUCACAAAAGAGGCAAUCGCCAAGGCGGACUACACCAAAGCUUGUAUACAGGAAUCGUAUCGCAUUAGGCCAACGGCUUUCUGUUUGGCGCGCAUACUUGAGGAGAAUAUGGAAUUGUCGGGCUAUCAGCUCAAAGCCGGCGUAGACGGUUGUGCUUUGUCAGAACAUGAUUGCCUGUAACAACGACGCCAAUUUUCCUAAUGCCAAAGAAUAUCGACCCGAGCGUUGGCUCGACGAGAAGCGUCAAUUUACGGUCAAUGUGCCGAAUGCAUGUAUUGUCGUGCCAUUUGGCAUCGGAAGACGAACCUGUCCGGGCAAGCGAUUUGUAGAAAUGGAGGUGAUGCUGUUGUUGGCUAAGCUUUUGCUCGCGUUCGAAAUCAAAUUCAAAGAGCCGUUGCAAACGGAAUUUGAGUUUCUGCUUGCGCCUAAAACGCCACUAACUUUAAUUAUGAGAGAUCGCGUCUACUGAACGAUCGCACUGCAAGCACGAACACACACGCACGCAUACAUAAGUGAGCGCUGCUUUCAGCGUACUAUGGAGUGCCAAACCGACAUUCGCGCAGCUUUUGUGAAAUAUUUGUAAAUUUUUUAACAAAAACGAGACAACUCUUUAAGAAAUGUUUUUUAGUAAUAUAAUAAAACAAAAUGACGAAGGUUGUAAAUACUUAAAUUUUGUUAUACACACACAUACAUACAUAUAUACACGCAUAGUUACAAUUGUGAGCAUUUUUGCGUAACGAAAGACUGUCUUAAUUUUAAAUUGUAUUUAUAAUCUUAACGAGGAAAAGUUGCAAUAUUUACCCAAAAAUUAAAAAAAAAAAACGUGUUAAUAAAAUUGUAAAUGUGUAUAUAAACACUAA